RNAcentral lists this unclassified non-coding RNA (322 nucleotides) under Hevea brasiliensis (rubber tree). The record is from RNAcentral. Lineage: Eukaryota; Viridiplantae; Streptophyta; Magnoliopsida; Malpighiales; Euphorbiaceae.
GGAAAAUAACGUAAAUUCUAGCUAAAAAUGCUUAUUCAUAGAGUUGAGUAACAAGCUGGUUGCACCACAAUUUAAUUUUAAUAUUUUGGGUCCAAAGGAACCCAAGGGGCUCGCACGUUUAAUCGAGUAAAAUCAAUUUUGCGCCGAUACACAAGUUCAUUAUGCAAUACUGUUGCUUCCACACAAUUUCAGUCCAAAGUCAAAACAAUACCCUUUUCACCCAAAACAAUUUGAUGAACUCCCUGAAAUUUCAAAAGGGCCAAUGUAAUUUCACGCACAAAAAAGUAUACAUAUAAGCAAAUAACGGAAGUUUGAGAAUACC